AUGGAGGACUCCAUGAACACGCACGAUGAGCGGCAAUGGACGGGCCUCGAGGAGACGAUGGCCCUCUUUGCGGCCGGCAACGUCGCCAUCUCCGAGCUGGAGAUGGUGGCGGUGGAGGAGGUGAUGGAGGAGGCGCCGGUGGUUGCGUUCCACCCGGGCCUGGUGGGCCAGCAGUGGAGCUGGUCUUGCACAGCUCCGGAGUUGGCAGACGCCGUGGGGGGCGUGAACUGGUACCCCACGCCGCCGCGGUCACCAGAGUGGGAGGCGUCGCCACGGGAGGAGGUGGUGCAGGCACCUGCCGCCUUCCAGCCCGCCCUCAUCUACCACGCACCGCCGGCCCACCUCUGGACGCCGUCGGACUACGUCGACCUCGUCAGCGACGACGACGACACUGGCGGCCACUAA
This 405-nucleotide ribosomal RNA is filed under the name Triticum aestivum (bread wheat). RNAcentral's name for it is "partial small subunit ribosomal RNA". The record is from RNAcentral. Lineage: Eukaryota; Viridiplantae; Streptophyta; Magnoliopsida; Poales; Poaceae.